UACGUAGGGUGCGAGCGUUAUCCGGAAUUAUUGGGCGUAAAGAGCUCGUAGGCGGUUUGUCACGUCUGCUGUGAAAACUGGAGGCUCAACCUUCAGCCUGCAGUGGGUACGGGCAGACUAGAGUGCGGUAGGGGAGAUUGGAAUUCCUGGUGUAGCGGUGGAAUGCGCAGAUAUCAGGAGGAACACCGAUGGCGAAGGCAGAUCUCUGGGCCGUUACUGACGCUGAGGAGCGAAAGCGUGGGGAGCGAACAGGAUUAGAUACCCUGGUAGUCCACGCCGUAAACGGUGGGCGCUAGAUGUGGGGACCAUUCCACGGUUUCCGUGUCGCAGCUAACGCAUUAAGCGCCCCGCCUGGGGAGUACGGCCGCAAGGCUA
RNAcentral lists this ribosomal RNA (375 nucleotides) under uncultured bacterium. Its description in RNAcentral is "bacterial SSU rRNA". It matches the Rfam family "Bacterial small subunit ribosomal RNA", at positions 524 to 896 of the family's 1533-position model. The record is from RNAcentral.